UACGGAGGGUGCGAGCGUUAUUCGGAAUUACUGGGCGUAAAGCGCGUGUAGGCGGCAGGGCAAGUCUGGUGUGAAAGCCCGGGGCUCAACCCCGGAAGUGCAUUGGAAACUGCUCUGCUUGAGUACCGGAGAGGAAGGGGGAAUUCCCGGUGUAGCGGUGAAAUGCGUAGAUAUCGGGAGGAAUACCAGUGGCGAAGGCGCCCUUCUGGACGGUUACUGACGCUGAGAUGCGAAAGCGUGGGGAGCGAACGGG
This 253-nucleotide ribosomal RNA is filed under the name uncultured microorganism. Its description in RNAcentral is "partial 16S ribosomal RNA". It matches the Rfam family "Bacterial small subunit ribosomal RNA", at positions 524 to 776 of the family's 1533-position model. The record is from RNAcentral.